Oncorhynchus tshawytscha (Chinook salmon) is the source of this 1767-nucleotide long non-coding RNA. NCBI's taxonomy places the organism in Eukaryota, Metazoa, Chordata, Actinopteri, Salmoniformes, Salmonidae. The record is from Ensembl.
CUUCAGACUGAGCUGAAUAGAUAGACUGCUGGACCUAUAAAAUAGCUGCCUCAUCAGGAUAAAUCCAUGGACCAGCUGCUUCCAGUCUCCUCCUCUAACCGGGCCAUUCCGGGGUGGUGUGCAUUCCGGCCAUCGGAGGAACAGCCAGCAAGAAGGCAAUAUGAAUCACUCCUAUCCAGAGGGAACACAUAAAGAUUUGUGAUGCAGAAGAUGUCUUGUACAAGAAGCUUCCUCCCUCUCUGUAAAGACUGGAGAAGACUGCUGCGAUCUCUCAUUGAUUCACAUCCCCUCUGGCUUGUCAGGAAACUUCCGAUGGAGAUGAAAAGAGAAAGAGAAAGAGAAUAAAUGCUCUUGGAUAUGCAAGCCUCCUUAAUCAGCUGGAGAAAAACAGUCAAAGUUCACCGAAAGGUCAGGACUUAAGAGGAAGUAGUCCACAAUAUCUUCCUCGACAUAAAGUAUAGCCCAAGAUUGACGCUGCUUAACAGUAAAGGUGGCCACAGUAUUAUACUGACAAAGUCUCGCCUGCCUUAUAACCGGUGACCUCAUGAACUUGAUUUCUCAGGUAAGCCAUGACUUCUGUCUUUUGCAAACAAACAGGGAAUAAUAUAUUUUUAAAGAUAUUUGUUACUGUAGUUAUUCCUCGUUUUCUUCAAAAUGACGAGUGAAGGUGAUAGGAAGAACGUGGAACAAGUGAGCCAUCCAUCCACAUCAAUGGAGACAUCCAAUAGUCCAAUUGACACAGUCUAAGAGCUGGUGUCCAUUUACUUAUCAGCAGGCUGUUGGUUUCAUGGCAGACCGAGGCCAGGUUGAUAUGAUUUCACAUUUUCCACAUAAGAAAGGGACACUGCUCUCUGUACCUGCCAUGUUUUUGGUGCUCUGAUCCCGGCUUUGAUGAGGUCAUGAAUCUGUCUGGCUUACCACACGCUAAACAAUGGCUUCAAGAUGAAGUCAACGUCAAGGUUGAUUGACAUAGAGAGCAGGAUUUCCACUCAAAAGUUUCCAUGCAGAUAUAGUAAUGUCAUAAAGCUGAAGAAUUUUCUCUGUGUUGAAGCAAUCUUGUGUGGGGGCUCUCUCUCUCUCCGCACAUCCGAUAGUUCCAGUUCUGUAACAUCAAGGGCUGGAGCUGCCAAUUCCCUCCCAUGCGGCCUUGGAGCUGGAACGCCAAUACCAGGUGAAAACGGCAGAAGUUUUCCAUUAAUCCUCGCAGUGGGCCUGUCUGGGCUGGGGAGGCUGGGAGGACAUAGGACUGGGUCACCUCCACAGGCACGGCUGGGCUAGCGUUACUACCUCAAGACUGGGAGUUGACAGGAACGCUACUGUCUCCAGGGAGAAAGACUGGCCCAAUUAGACAACCAAGCCACCUCUAGAAUGAGCCGAGUGGAAGAGGAGAAGUACUUUAUUGCCCCACAAGGAAGAGAUUGAACGUGUGUGUUAAUAGAUUGGUUGAUGGUUAUCCUUUCAGUACUUCAAAGUACAGUAGAGGCAGACGCAAAAACGUUUUAUGAGUGAUGGCUUUCUUUGGACAUUAUUGCUAUUUUAGCUUGUCACGGUUUGAGACAGGCUGGAUUAUAGGAUAUUAGGAUAUAGGAUAUUCAGGAUGGAUUAUAGCCUUUGAGACUAUAAUGCUUGUCCAAUUAAAGCACUAUAGAUAAUCCUGUUGAUUUGAACCUUUUAUUUUGAUAUAAAGAGGAGUAUAAAAUACCUGUGAUGACUCAUCUUACUGCCAUGAAACAGAGGAGUACAGAAAUCAACAAUAAAUUGCACAUC